AGCAGCCGCGGUAAUUCCAGCUCCAAUAGCGUAUAUUAAAGUUGUUGCAGUUAAAAAGCUCGUAGUUGAAUUUCGGGACCAAUCUGCCGGUCGUGCCUCCGGUACGCACUGGUUUUAUUGGUUUCUCCCUUCUGACGAACUAUGAUGUCAUUAAUUUGGUGUCAUGGGGAAUCAGGACUGUUACUUUGAAAAAAUUAGAGUGUUUAUAGCAGGCUCACGCUUGAAUACAUUAGCAUGGAAUAAUGAAAUAGGACGUUUGACCCUAUUUUGUUGGUUUCUAGGAUCGACGUAAUGAUUAAUAGGGAUCGUUGGGGGCAUUAGUAUUCAAUUGUCAGAGGUGAAAUUCUUGGAUUUAUUGAAGACUAACUACUGCGAAAGCAUUUGCCAAGGAUGUUUUCAUUAAUCAAGAACGAAAGUUAGGGGAUCGAAGACGAUCAGAUACUGUCGUAGUCUUAACCAUAAACUAUGCCGACUAGGGAUCGGAUGAUGUUAAUUUUUUAAUGACUCAUUCGGCGCCUUA
This 520-nucleotide ribosomal RNA is filed under the name uncultured Glomus. RNAcentral's name for it is "SSU rRNA". It matches the Rfam family "Eukaryotic small subunit ribosomal RNA", at positions 569 to 1090 of the family's 1831-position model. The record is from RNAcentral. Lineage: Eukaryota; Fungi; Glomeromycota; Glomeromycetes; Glomerales; Glomeraceae.